UUCAUUUUUUUGCAAAUAUUUUGAGAAUGUUUAUUAUAAAAAUAUAAAUGUUUCCACUACAAAUCAUUUUACAUUAGUAGACAAGGCUUUUACGCACGCAAGCACGUCGUACGCACACACUCGCAUGCCCACACACACAAGCAUACACACGUACCGGCGCACACACACACAUUCAUCUAAAAAAAGCAAAAAGAGUAAGGAUGGGGUGCAUAACAGUAUUGCUCUUCCACACUGAAAACGCUGUCACAGAACCAACCAUGUCAUAGAUUACAGUAUGCUACAAAAAAAACAUUACACUUUUGCACAGUAUAUGUUAACAAUAAAUAAUAAUUAUUAUAAUUGCUUUUCUUUUAUGUAAAAAAACAAAUAUAAUACAAAAUAACAUGAAAUAUAAUACAAAGAAUGUUUGUCUUUUUAAAAUGUUGCACAGAUAUUUCUGUUCAUUCUUUUAUACAUAGAACCAUUUGUACAAAGGGAUGGCUAUGGAAGAGGACUGUCCUGCUUGUAGAUAUGGACACACAGUUGUUUUACAUAUGUACAUGCCAUACAGAACACGUAACAGCAGCUAAGGGCGGGCAGGGGAUGGACGGAGGUGUUAUCACACACACGCACACAGACACAUACAAACAACACACACAUACACAUCCACUAUUCAGAUCAGGGAGAAUCCUUAUCUACUGUAGCGAUGCAAUACACUCAGACACUCGCUUUAUCUAGAGAGGUGUGAUAUAUACCCACCAGUGUUAGAAGAUAGCAUUGGAAGAGCUGUGGGAUAGUGUUGUUCAUUUUCAUCUUCUACCUUACAGAGCAGAAUACGCUCUGAAGAAGCCUCGCUCUCUCUCCAUCUUUUUCAUUAUCUCUACAGCUCUCUCUCUACAUCUCUCUCUCUACUUCUACCUCUCUCCCUCUCCUUUCUCUCUAUCCUGUUUCAGUUUGAAUGAAUAACACACAUCCUGAGAUUUCACAUUAGGACUAGGAACUAGGAAGCUUGGAGUUAUGCAUCAUCACCUACUGUAUGAUAAGCAGACAGGUGGUAGUUAGAUACAGUUCUGUAUGAUAAGCAGACAGGUGGUAGUUAGAUACAGUUCUGUAUGAUAAGCAGACAGGUGGUAGUUAGAUACAGUUCUGUAUGAUAAGCAGACAGGUGGUAGUUAGUUACAGUUCUGUAUGAUAAGCAGAAGGGUGGUAGUUAGUUACAGUUCUGUAUGAUAAGCAGACAGGUGGUAGUUAGUUACAGUUCUCUAUGAUAAGCAGACAGGUGGUAGUUAGUUACAGUUCUGUAUGAUAAGCAGACAGAUGGUAGGUAGUUACAGUUCUGUAUGAUAAGCAGACAGGUGGUAGUUAGUUACAGUUCUCUAUGAUAAGCAGACAGGUGGUAGUUAGUUACAGUUCUGUAUGAUAAGCAGAAGGGUGGUAGUUAGUUACAGUUCUGUAUGAUAAGCAGACAGGUGGUAGUUAGUUACAGUUC
Molecule: long non-coding RNA, 1468 nt
Organism: Oncorhynchus keta (chum salmon)
Lineage: Eukaryota; Metazoa; Chordata; Actinopteri; Salmoniformes; Salmonidae
Exons: 4
Source: RefSeq, a predicted model, not a curated record